UACGGAGGGGGCAAGCGUUAUUCGGAAUUAUUGGGCGUAAAGGGCGCGUAGGCGGCUAGAUGUGUCAAAGGUGAAAUCCCUCGGCUCAACUGAGGAACUGCCUUUGAAACUGUCUGGCUUGAGGCCGGGAGAGGGUAGCGGAAUUCCCAGUGUAGCGGUGAAAUGCGUAGAUAUCAGGAGGAACACCGGUGGCGAAGGCGGCUUUCUGGACAGAAACUGACGCUGAUGCGCGAAAGCUAGGGGAGCAAACAGG
RNAcentral lists this ribosomal RNA (253 nucleotides) under uncultured bacterium. RNAcentral describes it as "partial 16S ribosomal RNA". It matches the Rfam family "Bacterial small subunit ribosomal RNA", at positions 524 to 776 of the family's 1533-position model. The record is from RNAcentral.